GGAUAGGUAGGUUAAGUAUUCUUCAUGGUAUCAGAGCUGGGAUGAACCCUACUCUGAUACUGUGAAGAAUACUGAACCUGCAUGUCC
Marchantia polymorpha subsp. ruderalis is the source of this 87-nucleotide non-coding RNA. The record is from the annotation of a GenBank genome assembly. NCBI's taxonomy places the organism in Eukaryota, Viridiplantae, Streptophyta, Marchantiopsida, Marchantiales, Marchantiaceae.